AAAAAUAUAUUAAAAGUCUUUCCAAUUUUACUUUUAUAAUUUAUUUUACAUUAAGUGGAGGUGAUUACAAAUGGAGAACAUUAUUAUCUCAUAGUUUAUGUGAAGGAAUAUCUAUCUCAAUUGAUGAAGAUAAUGAAUUAAUAAUAGAACAAAAUUGUAAUCCUCAUAUAAUAAAAAGUAAAUUCAAACCACAAAUAGGAAUACCAUAUCAUAUUGCAGUUGUUUUUAAUAAACCGUCUAAAACUAUAUCUUUAUAUAUUAAUAGUAAAAAAGUGGUAUUAGAAAAAGGAAAAUAUGACUUUACUCUUAAUGGAAAUUUAAUAAUUGGUAGGUCAAAUGACACUUCAACAGAUUAUUUUAUUGGAAAUAUUCAUUUGGUUGAAGUAUAUAAAUUUAUUUUAUCAGAAGAAGAAAUAACAGAAUCGUUUAAUUCUGCUAUUUCUUUGGAGUAUAUAGAUAUAAACAAUAAAGGGAUAGGAUCUUCUUUUUCUAGCAAUCAAAGAACUGCUGGGAAUAAUACAAUAAAUAAAAACAAUAAAAGUAAUAAAAAAGACGUUCGAAAAACUGUAGACGGAAGAGAAUGUAUAACUUCAUGUAAAUCAAAAAAUAUAUUAAAUAAAAAUUUAUUAAUCAACACUCAAGAAAUUAAUUUAAAAUGUGAACAUGAUUUACUUUCUCAUCAUUUUAAUGGAAAAAUCGGAUCAGAGUUUUUAGUUCGAUGUCAGGAUAAUUGUAUUAAAUCCAAAUAUAUAAUCAAAGGUGAAAAUAAUUUAUACACUCCUGAUUCAUCUAUAUGUAAAGCAGCAAUACAUGCAGGUGUAUAUAUACCUAAUAAACAAUCAGAUGCGCAAACAAAUAAUGAUACAUUUAUAAUUAAAAUAGUACAAGGAUUAGUAGAGUAUAAAAGUGCGAGAGGACAUUUUGGUAUUGUUAGUAAGCAAGAAAAACAAUCACAGUUGCGAUCUUUUUCAGUAUUUCCAAAAGUAUAUGAGGACGAUACUGAUGCUGAUGAUAAUGAUAGUGAUGGUAAUUAAACGUCCAUAUGAUCUACAACAGAACAUUUUUUACUAAAUCUACCUGUAAAAAAAAAAAAAAAAAAAAAAAAAAAAAAAAGCUAUUAUUUGCCCACCAUAUUGUGACCAAACAAAUGGACAAGUAUUUGGAACUGGUAUAUAUAACCCAUUGUCAGCUGUCUGUAAAAUAGCUAUACAUGCAGAUGUUUUAUCAACAUAAGGUGGACAAAUAAAUAUAAUAGUUCAAGAGGGUCA
This 1268-nucleotide long non-coding RNA is filed under the name Piliocolobus tephrosceles (Ugandan red Colobus). Its description in RNAcentral is "lncRNA (ENSPTEG00000015683.1)". Lineage: Eukaryota; Metazoa; Chordata; Mammalia; Primates; Cercopithecidae. The record is from RNAcentral.